Molecule: ribosomal RNA, 447 nt
Filed under: uncultured bacterium
Lineage: Bacteria
Description: partial 16S ribosomal RNA
Rfam family: Bacterial small subunit ribosomal RNA
Source: RNAcentral
AACGAACGCUGGCGGCAGGCUUAACACAUGCAAGUCGAGCGCCCCGCAAGGGGAGCGGCAGACGGGUGAGUAACACGUGGGAACAUACCCAUCUCUGCGGAACAACUCCGGGAAACUGGAGCUAAUACCGCAUACGCCCUUCGGGGGAAAGAUUUAUCGGAGAUGGAUUGGCCCGCGUUGGAUUAGCUAGUUGGUGGGGUAAAGGCCUACCAAGGCGACGAUCCAUAGCUGGUCUGAGAGGAUGAUCAGCCACAUUGGGACUGAGACACGGCCCAAACUCCUACGGGAGGCAGCAGUGGGGAAUCUUGGACAAUGAGCGCAAGCCUGAUCCAGCCAUGCCGCGUGAGUGAUGAAGGCCUUAGGGUUGUAAAGCUCUUUCACCGAUGAAGAUAAUGACGGUAGUCGGAGAAGAAGCCCCGGCUAACUUCGUGCCAGCCGCCGCGGUAA